This is a long non-coding RNA of Osmia lignaria (orchard mason bee), 1948 nucleotides long. RefSeq lists it as uncharacterized. Lineage: Eukaryota; Metazoa; Arthropoda; Insecta; Hymenoptera; Megachilidae. The record is from RefSeq and is a predicted model, not a curated record.
UGUCGAUAGAUGGUAGUACAGCCUCGUUCUUAUUUGAACAUGAGGCAUCAUCAUAUCUGUUACGUUCGUUACUGAAUCCACUGUUAGAUGAAGCUAGUAUUACUAUUUCGAGUGUCUACAACGUCAGUAAUUGUUUUCACUCACUUGAACCAAGGAAAAGAGAGAAUUUGGACAAGGUUUAGGCAGAAUUACGAAAUAGAAAACAGAUUCGUCGUUGUGUGGGUGAGUGCACAGACUUGUAUCAUAAUGCAGCAUUCCUCUUCGAAGCUUCGUCCGGUUUGCACGCUUCUACAACAGUAUUAAAGUUUCGAAGUAUUGAAACUUCUAUCAACGGCUGUGAUUGGUCGGCCCAUGUUGGCGUCCUCUCAUUUCGACCAAUCAGACACGUCGUUGUGUGAGCGAGUGCGUUGAUUUGUGACGCAGUACAGCAUUCCUCUUCGAAGCUUCGUCCGUGUUCCACGCGUCUGCAACAGAAGUACAUUCUAAUAAAACAUCAAAAGCCUGAUAUAGAACUAUUAAAUGAAUCUUCGUCAAAUUAAAGAAGCACAUUCGAAUAAAACAUCAGAAGCCUGAAAUGGAACAAUUAAAUGAAUCUUCGUCCAAUUAAAGUGCCUGUAUGUCAACAUCCUACCUACUACACUCGUCUACAUCAUCAAUCUACUUAGGAGACCAUCCGCCGGGUGCUUUCUUCCAGCUACUUCUCAACAACCACUCACCAGUUCGGUGAGCCCCAAAAGUUACAAAUUUUAUUCUUAUUUUAAGUGAGCAUAGUGACCCAUGAGUGGAUGAAUACUCAUGGAAAUAUAUUACAUAUUUUUCAUAUCUUUUUUCAUUUUUAUAUUGUUGUAUUUCUUAGUUCAGGCUAGGGUCUUCUUGUCUCUUUUUAAAAAAUAGUUUGUAGGAUAGAAGUCGGAUGACCCUCCGACUUCACAAAUAAAAUACAACUUUUAAAAUAUUUUUUUAAUUAAAAGAUACUUAAAUUUUGAUAAUGUAUACAAAAUUUGUAUAUUUUAUAUGCAGUCAAUAUUACGUACAUUUGCUACAAUACAUUUAUUAUACUAUAAUAUUUCAAUGCAGUAUAUUAUUAUAUUGUUGAUUUAAAUAUGUUUUAUGAGCAAGAAGACAUUUCGCGACGGUUAGAUUCUAACAUCGAAGUAAUAUUUUCGAAUGUACAUUUGAUGUAACUUACACAAUUUACUUCGACAUGCAAUCAACCGAGGAUGUAUUACAUGUAUAUUAAUUAUUAAAUUGCAUUUCCAAUAGAUACAGAUCCAUUUAACAGAUACUUCAAGUUUUUGAUUAAAGUAGAGUGAUUUUUUUUACACAUUUUUUUUUCUUUAGCUAUGAUUAAAUACAAUUUAAUUAUUUUAAUAAUUAUUUAAUUCAAUUGCAAUUUUUUAUUUUAAUUUUUAAUAAUCGGAGUCUUGUAUUACAAAUAGAAUCAUUUUUUAAUGUUUUAUUCUUCUAAUCAAUUUCAAUCUCAUCAGUUCAAAGAAAACAUAGUUCCAACGUAAGAUUGUUUUACAUAAUAAUUUAUUUUCAAAUUUAAAAUGUUUAUUAGCCCGUUAGCUUUACUAUGUAUUAAUCGAUCAUUUUAGCUUAGGAUUUUCAGCUUCACACGGUAGGUGUAUUAUUUCUUUGCCCGUAUUCAUUACUUAUUAGCCUGAGCUCAUCAACGAACCCAGGUGUGCGUUGUGUGGGUAAGGGCGGUGGGUACGGUUUUAGAAUUAAGGAAUAUUACAGCGAUUGACAAACGUAUUAGCGUAUUGUGCACGAUGUACGUUUCACAUGUGUGUGUGUGUGUAUUUAAAUUAGUGGAAUGUACGUCGAUUUUAUUAUUCAACUUAAAUAGUUUAUAUAAAUACAUACAGAAUAAAUAUGUUACAUAUCUAAUCAAUAUUUUCCAUAUUACAUACUGUAUGUAUAAUAUCAUACAAUCAUAUUACAU